Long non-coding RNA from Oncorhynchus keta (chum salmon), 549 nucleotides. RefSeq lists it as uncharacterized. The transcript has 5 exons. The record is from RefSeq and is a predicted model, not a curated record. NCBI's taxonomy places the organism in Eukaryota, Metazoa, Chordata, Actinopteri, Salmoniformes, Salmonidae.
CUCCAGGUACAGGGUUGGAGAGAUAUAAUGUAAUGAGGCUCAUCCAUAUGGUUUCUAGGUUAGCUCCAGGUACAGGGUUGGAGAGAUGUAAUGUAAUGAAGCUCAUCCAUAUGGUUUCUAGGUUAGCUCCAGGUACAGGGUUGGAGAGAUAUAAUGUAAUGAGGCUCAUCCAUAUGGUUUCUAGGUUAGCUCCAGGUACAGGGUUGGAGAGAUAUAAUGUAAUGAAGCUCAUCCAUAUGGUUUCUAGGUUAGCUCCAGGUACAGGGUUGGAGAGAUGUAAUGAAGCUCAUCCAUAUGGUUUCUAGGUUAGCUCCAGGUACAGGGUUGGAGAGAUAUAAUGAAGCUCAUCCAUAUGGUUUCUAGGUUAGCUCGAGGUACAGGGUUGGAGAGAUGUAAUGAAGCUCAUCCAUAUGGUUUCUAGGUUAGCUCCAGGUACAGGGUUGGAGAGAUAUAAUGAAGCUCAUCCAUAUGGUUUCUAGGUUAGCUCCAGGUACAGGGUUGGAGAGAUGUAAUGAAGCUCAUCCAUAUGGUUUCUAGGUUAGCACCAGG